GACGAACCGUGCGAACGUUGUUCGGAUUCACUGGGCUUAAAGGGCGCGUAGGCGGUCGGCCAAGUCUGGGGUGAAAUCUUUCGGCUCAACCGGAAAAGUGCCCCCGAUACUGGCCGUCUAGAGGGAGGUAAGGGCAUGUGGAACUUCCGGUGGAGCGGUGAAAUGCGUAGAUAUCGGAAGGAACGCCGGUGGCGAAAGCGACGUGCUGGACCUCAUCUGACGCUGAGGCGCGAAAGCCAGGGGAGCAAACGGG
RNAcentral lists this ribosomal RNA (253 nucleotides) under uncultured bacterium. RNAcentral describes it as "partial 16S ribosomal RNA". It matches the Rfam family "Bacterial small subunit ribosomal RNA", at positions 524 to 776 of the family's 1533-position model. The record is from RNAcentral.